UACGUAGGGGACAAGCGUUGUCCGGAAUUACUGGGCGUAAAGCGUGCGCAGGCGGUUUUGUAAGCCAGAUGUGAAAUCCCCGGGCUUAACCUGGGAAUGGCAUUUGGGACUGCAAGGCUGGAGUGCGGCAGAGGAGACUGGAAUUCCUGGUGUAGCAGUGAAAUGCGUAGAUAUCAGGAGGAAUACCGAUGGCGAAGGCAGGUCUCUGGGCUGACACUGACGCUCAUGCACGAAAGCUAGGGGAGCAAACGGG
Molecule: ribosomal RNA, 253 nt
Filed under: uncultured bacterium
Lineage: Bacteria
Description: partial 16S ribosomal RNA
Rfam family: Bacterial small subunit ribosomal RNA
Source: RNAcentral